GCUAAUUGUGAAUGAAUCGUAGUUGUGAUUAAGCCCUUUUAAAGUGGACAGCCCUCUCGUGAUGGGCAUAACUAGCCUUUUGAAUU
RNAcentral lists this transfer RNA (86 nucleotides) under Carex agglomerata. RNAcentral's name for it is "tRNA-His". The record is from RNAcentral. Lineage: Eukaryota; Viridiplantae; Streptophyta; Magnoliopsida; Poales; Cyperaceae.